GUUAACAUAAAAGUAAGCGACUUCUUAGUAAUGCAUAGGUCAUUAAUACAUAACACUAGGACUCUAGGAGAUAAUAAGGCAAAGAAAGAGUGAGGGAAAGUACUAAGAAAGGACUUAGCGACCCUAAAUCUUUCGGAAUAUGUCAACCUAAACAGGAUGAAAUGGAAAAAUGGGCAUAUAAGCUGAUCAAUUUAGCAAGCAUGGAGUG
Molecule: unclassified non-coding RNA, 208 nt
Filed under: Hevea brasiliensis (rubber tree)
Lineage: Eukaryota; Viridiplantae; Streptophyta; Magnoliopsida; Malpighiales; Euphorbiaceae
Source: RNAcentral